CCAAUUAACAUGGAACACUUACCAACGGAAAAGGGGCCUGAUUAUCCUCGGGCUAAUCUGCCUGUCUUCCACCACUUCCUUUUGCUGCCAUGCCUGACCCAUAUUAUGCUAUGUUCGUGAAAGAUUAAUAAGCAUGUAUUGUAUUAGUAAGCAUGUACUGAAACUGUGUAAUACAAUGUUAUCCCCACUGAAUGCUUUGCUUCACAGACAAGUAUAACUGCAUUUUCAUUCUCUUUUUUUCCAAUGAUCACAGAGUGGAACUCUGCAAAGAGAGAUAUUAUUGCUUCCAGUCAAUGCUCAAAAUCACUGGGUUAUUGUGGUCUUUCCUCUAUCAACGAAAUGGAAAACUGAAGGAGAAUUGGAAAACCAAAAUACUGGACCACCACAGACAAAUUGAUGGGCAUAACUGCGGACCACUAAUCCUAAAGAGAGCGUGGAGGACUACUGCCUACACUGCAAUUAUCUAACUUGCAAAAAAAUACAUGAAGAUGGAAUAAUGGUAAGGGGAAAAAAAGGUAUGAUAUAUUGGAACAGAUCUGUAAGGAGAAGGCAGUACAAGAACAAAACUCAUGGCUGAAGACAAACAGUUGCAUAUUAUCCAAACAUAAUUACCUGCCUAAAGAUCACGAUUAUUGUAAUAAUUCCACAGUAGCAAAUAUUUCCACUGCUGCUGAUAGUCAGAUCUUGAUUAAUGAUAAUAUGUUGAAGGAAUAUUAGUUAUUAACUUUUACAUUAGUUGAAGUUAUCUGUACAAUUAUUAUUUUUUGGAUUUCACAUUCUCACUUCUUACUUAUCAAAAGUGCAGUGCGACUCUUGCGAGAGGUGGGCACACAUAGCCUGCCUUCCCGAGGGAAUCACUGAAGAAAACCUGAAUGCUGAGGAGAAAGGGUACAGAUGCAUCAAGUGUGCAUAGUUCAGUUAUUUAACUAAAAUGUACAUUGAAUAAGGAAUUUGCUAAGAGCAGUAUUUUUGUUUUCUUCAGCAAACACUUCUGAAAUAUAAAUGAGAAGAGAAGUGUAACCUUACAUUAAAUUUCAGUAAAGAAAAAAAGCAUUAACUAUCUAUAAAUAUGUUCAGAUUAUUUUUUAUAAAAAUAGUUGAAAUGAAACCUACAAUGUUCUUGUUUCCAUCUCUUGUUACAAUAGGGAAGGUUUUAUAUUUUUAAAAAUACCUCAGUAUAGUUGUGUCCACAUUUUCAAUGGAGAUUUCACAAUGGUAACAAAUUAUGACAGGGCAUCAAUCAUCCAUAAAGGUUUGUUACCUCUGAAAUUUCUCAUACUGUGCUCUCAGGCUGAUGCCCUAUGACAUACAAAGCAAAUGGGGCCAGAGGUACCCCCUCGGUCAUACUUUGGUACCCCUAGACCAGAAGUGUUGCAUGGGUUUUUGUUCAUUUCAUUCUCAACAUAGUCAUUUGGAUGUUUAUCACAACAUUUUAUGC
RNAcentral lists this long non-coding RNA (1438 nucleotides) under Chrysemys picta bellii (western painted turtle). RNAcentral describes it as "lncRNA (ENSCPBG00000020552.1)". Lineage: Eukaryota; Metazoa; Chordata; Testudines; Emydidae. The record is from RNAcentral.